CGACUAGGUUUGACUCCGUGGCCUACAGGACGAACGCUGGCGGCGUGCCUAACACAUGCAAGUCGAACGGGACUUAGUGGAAAGCGGCUUCGGCCAAUGGAAGCUAAGUUUAGUGGCGGACGGGUGAGUAACGCGUGAGUAACCUGCCUUACAGAGGGGGACAACAGUUGGAAACGACUGCUAAUACCGCAUAACGUCUAACUAAGGCAUCUUAGAUAGACCAAAGGAGCAAUCCGCUGUAAGAUGGACUCGCGUCCAAUUAGAUAGUUGGUGGGUAACGGCCCACCAAGUCGACGAUUGGUAGCCGGACUGAGAGGUUGAACGGCCACAUUGGAACUGAGAUACGGUCCAGACUCCUACGGGAGGCAGCAGUGGGGAAUAUUGGGCAAUGGACGAAAGUCUGACCCAGCGACGCCGCGUGAGGGAAGAAGGUCUUCGGAUUGUAAACCUUAGUCAACAGGGAAGAAGCAAGUGACGGUACCUGUGGAGGAAGCCACGGCUAACUACGUG
RNAcentral lists this ribosomal RNA (510 nucleotides) under uncultured bacterium. RNAcentral describes it as "bacterial SSU rRNA". It matches the Rfam family "Bacterial small subunit ribosomal RNA", at positions 1 to 507 of the family's 1533-position model. The record is from RNAcentral.